RNAcentral lists this ribosomal RNA (275 nucleotides) under uncultured bacterium. Its description in RNAcentral is "partial 16S ribosomal RNA". It matches the Rfam family "Bacterial small subunit ribosomal RNA", at positions 338 to 605 of the family's 1533-position model. The record is from RNAcentral.
CCUACGGGGGGCUGCAGUGGGGAAUAUUGGACAAUGGGCGCAAGCCUGAUCCAGCCAUGCCGCGUGUGUGAAGAAGGCCUUCGGGUUGUAAAGCACUUUUGUUGGGGAAGAAAAGCCGCGGGUUAAUACCCUGUGGUUCUGACGGUACCCAAAGAAUAAGCACCGGCUAACUUCGUGCCAGCAGCCGCGGUAAUACGAAGGGUGCAAGCGUUACUCGGAAUUACUGGGCGUAAAGCGUGCGUAGGUGGUUCGUUAAGUCUGCCGUGAAAGCCCCG